AUUGAACGCUGGCGGCAGGCCUAACACAUGCAAGUCGAACGAGUGGCGGACGGGAGAGUAAUGGCUGAGAAACUGCCUGAUGGAGGGGGAUAACUACUGGAAAAGGUAGCUAAAACCGCAUACCACCGGUUUUGCCCACAUGGGAUUAGCUUGUGGGUGGGGUAACGGCUCACCAAGGCGACGCUCCCUAGCUGGUCUGAGAGGAUGAACAGCCACACUGGAACUGAGACACGGUCCAGACUCCUACGGGAGGCAGCAGUGGGGAAGAUUGCACAAUGGGCGCAAGCCUGAUGCAGCCAUGCCGCGUGUAUGAAGAAGGCUUUCGCGUUGUAAAGUACUUUCAGCGGGGAGGCGUUACCCGCAGAAGAAGCACCGGCUAACUCCGUGCCAGCAGCCGCGGUAAUAC
Molecule: ribosomal RNA, 406 nt
Filed under: uncultured bacterium
Lineage: Bacteria
Description: partial 16S ribosomal RNA
Rfam family: Bacterial small subunit ribosomal RNA
Source: RNAcentral